This 593-nucleotide ribosomal RNA is filed under the name uncultured bacterium. RNAcentral describes it as "bacterial SSU rRNA". It matches the Rfam family "Bacterial small subunit ribosomal RNA", at positions 102 to 691 of the family's 1533-position model. The record is from RNAcentral.
ACGGGUGAGUAAUAUAUCGGAACGUGCCCAAUCGUGGGGGAUAACGUAGAGAAAUUUACGCUAAUACCGCAUACGAUCCAAGGAUGAAAGCGGGGGAUCGCAAGACCUCGCGCGAUUGGAGCGGCUGAUAUCAGAUUAGGUUGUUGGUGAGGUAAAAGCUCACCAAGCCGACGAUCUGUAGCUGGUUUGAGAGAACGACCAGCCACACUGGGACUGAGACACGGCCCAGACUCCUACGGGAGGCAGCAGUGGGGAAUUUUGGACAAUGGGCGAAAGCCUGAUCCAGCAAUGCCGCGUGCAGGAAGAAGGCCUUCGGGUUGUAAACUGCUUUUGUACGGAACGAAAAAGCUCUUUCUAAUAAAGAGGGCUCAUGACGGUACCGUAAGAAUAAGCACCGGCUAACUACGUGCCAGCAGCCGCGGUAAUACGUAGGGUGCGAGCGUUAAUCGGAAUUACUGGGCGUAAAGCGUGCGCAGGCGGUUAUAUAAGACAGUUGUGAAAUCCCCGGGCUCAACCUGGGAAUUGCAUCUGUGACUGUAUAGCUAGAGUACGGUAGAGGGGGAUGGAAUUCCGCGUGUAGCAGUGAAGUGCGU